Molecule: long non-coding RNA, 375 nt
Filed under: Phoenix dactylifera (date palm)
Lineage: Eukaryota; Viridiplantae; Streptophyta; Magnoliopsida; Arecales; Arecaceae
Description: long non-coding RNA (PDAC_LNC022339)
Source: RNAcentral
AAGCAUUUGAGUAUAUCUUAUGUUAUACUAAUGAAUUCAAUCUAGUGUUUCAGUCAAAUACUUGUAAAUUUAUGGUUAAGUGUCUCUAGAUUUGGUUCAAUACAUUUUGGAUAAGUAAAGAAUUCAAUUUGAACCAAAGUCUGAGUCUCGAGUCGACUCCGGGAGAUUACGAGUCGACUCCAAGCGUAUCAGAAGCACUAGCACAAGCUCGAGUCGACUCCUGUACAUUUCGAGUCGACCCCGACUGAGAACAGACAGACGGACAGAAAGAUUCAUCUCAGAACCUGUCAACGAGUCGACUCCUGAAGAGCGCGAGUUGACUCCGAUGCUUGCCGAGUCGACUCCAGAGUAGUACGAGUCGACUCCAGGGGGUUA